This 837-nucleotide ribosomal RNA is filed under the name uncultured Methylobacter sp. RNAcentral describes it as "bacterial SSU rRNA". It matches the Rfam family "Bacterial small subunit ribosomal RNA", at positions 55 to 890 of the family's 1533-position model. Lineage: Bacteria; Pseudomonadati; Pseudomonadota; Gammaproteobacteria; Methylococcales; Methylococcaceae. The record is from RNAcentral.
AUGCAGUCGAACGGUAGCAGGCCUUCGGGUGCUGACGAGUGGCGGACGGGUGAGUAACGCGUAGGAAUCUGCCCUGUAGUGGGGGACAACGUGGGGAAACUCACGCUAAUACCGCAUACGCCCUGAGGGGGAAAGCGGGGGACCUUCGGGCCUCGCGCUAUGGGGUGAGCCUGCGUGGGAUUAGCUAGUUGGUAGGGUAAAGGCCUACCAAGGCGACGAUCCCUAGCCGGCCUGAGAGGGUGGCCGGCCACACUGGGACUGAGACACGGCCCAGACUCCUACGGGAGGCAGCAGUGGGGAAUAUUGGACAAUGGGCGCAAGCCUGAUCCAGCAAUGCCGCGUGUGUGAAGAAGGCCUGAGGGUUGUAAAGCACUUUCAGUGGGGAGGAAAAAGCGAAGGUUAAUACCCUUGGUCUUGACAUUACCCAGAGAAGAAGCACCGGCUAACUCCGUGCCAGCAGCCGCGGUAAUACGGAGGGUGCGAGCGUUAAUCGGAAUUACUGGGCGUAAAGCGUGCGUAGGCGGCUAUUUAAGUCAGAUGUGAAAGCCCCGGGCUUAACCUGGGAACGGCAUUUGAUACUGGGUAGCUAGAGUUUGGUAGAGGGGAGUGGAAUUUCAGGUGUAGCGGUGAAAUGCGUAGAGAUCUGAAGGAACACCAGUGGCGAAGGCGGCUCCCUGGACCAGAACUGACGCUGAGGCACGAAAGCGUGGGUAGCAAACAGGAUUAGAUACCCUGGUAGUCCACGCCGUAAACGAUGCCGACUAGCCGUUGGGUCUUUAAGGAGGCUUGAUGGCGCAGCUAACGCAAUAAGUCGGCCGCCUGGGGAGUACGGCCGCA